RNAcentral lists this ribosomal RNA (510 nucleotides) under uncultured bacterium. RNAcentral's name for it is "partial 16S ribosomal RNA". It matches the Rfam family "Bacterial small subunit ribosomal RNA", at positions 28 to 507 of the family's 1533-position model. The record is from RNAcentral.
GACGAACGCUGGCGGCGUGCUUAACACAUGCAAGUCGAACGAAGAGCGAUGGAAGCUUGCUUCUAUCAAUCUUAGUGGCGAACGGGUGAGUAACGCGUAAUCAACCUGCCCUUCAGAGGGGGACAACAGUUGGAAACGACUGCUAAUACCGCAUACGAUCUAAUCUCGGCAUCGAGGAUAGAUGAAAGGUGGCCUCUACAUGUAAGCUAUCACUGAAGGAGGGGAUUGCGUCUGAUUAGCUAGUUGGAGGGGUAACGGCCCACCAAGGCGAUGAUCAGUAGCCGGUCUGAGAGGAUGACCGGCCACAUUGGGACUGAGACACGGCCCAGACUCCUACGGGAGGCAGCAGUGGGGAAUCUUCCGCAAUGGACGAAAGUCUGACGGAGAAACGCCGCGUGAGUGAUGACGGCCUUCGGGUUGUAAAGCUCUGUUAAUCGGGACGAAAGGCCUUCUUGCGAAUAGUGAGAAGGAUUGACGGUACCGGAAUAGAAAGCCACGGCUAACUACGUG